GCCUAACACAUGCAAGUCGAGCGGCAGCGAAAGAAAGCUUGCUUUCUUGUCGGCGAGCGGCAAACGGGUGAGUAAUAUCUGGGAAUCUACCCAAAAGAGGGGGAUAACUACUAGAAAUGGUAGCUAAUACCGCAUAAAGUUGAAAAAACCAAAGUGGGGGACCUUAAAAGGCCUCAUGCUUUUUGGAUGAGCCCAGAAGAGAUUAGCUUGUUGGUAAGGUAAAAGCUUACCAAGGCCACGAUCUCUAGCUGGUCUGAGAGGAUAACCAGCCACACUGGAACUGAGACACGGUCCAGACUCCUACGGGAGGCAGCAGUGGGGAAUAUUGCACAAUGGGCGAAAGCCUGAUGCAGCUAUGCCGCGUGUAUGAAGAAGGCCUUAGGGUUGUAAAGUACUUUCAGCGGGGAGGAAAAAAUAAAACUAAUAAUUUUAAUUUCCUGACGUUACCCGAAGAAAGAAGCACCGGCUAACUCCGUGCCAGCAGCCGCGGUAAUACGGAGGGUGCUAGCGUUAAUCAGAAUUACUGGGCGUAAAGAGCACGUAGGUGGUUUUUUAAGUCAGAUGUGAAAUCCCUGG
RNAcentral lists this ribosomal RNA (576 nucleotides) under Buchnera aphidicola (Aphis gossypii). Its description in RNAcentral is "bacterial SSU rRNA". It matches the Rfam family "Bacterial small subunit ribosomal RNA", at positions 46 to 606 of the family's 1533-position model. Lineage: Bacteria; Pseudomonadati; Pseudomonadota; Gammaproteobacteria; Enterobacterales; Erwiniaceae. The record is from RNAcentral.